GACUCUUUCUCUCCCUCUAGUUGCUAGGUAACAAUCCUCCAGUGAGUGGUGUAUUGUCUGCUUCCACGGUGAGAGAGUUGGCUCUGGACUCCACCCUGAACAGAUACAUCCUGUCAGCCCUACAGAACGCUGAGGCUGGGGCAGCAGCGUACUGAAGAGUCAGAGGGUGGUGGAGUGUUUCCCAGCCCAGUGGUUUGUAGGGUUGAAAGGUCAGCAGACACUGCCUCAGCUGGAGCCCUUCUGCCGUUACCUCACCCACCUGGCCUCCGCUCUGCUGAGAGGUUCUCUGGGGGGGUCCGACGUCGACAAGAGGAACGCCAAGGAGCAAAUCAAGGAGGUGGUGAAGCUGUUAGCUCGUCUCAACGCUCUGGAUCACCUCAUCACCGUGGCAACGGAACACGGCAUCAAGGACAUCGCACCUCUACUGGACUCCAAGUGACGUCACCGCUGUGUGUGUGUGUGUGUGUGAGGUCAUCUGAACCCUGUGUUGUUGGGUCAAACUGCAAGGUUUAUCAUAAUGGACGUUAGUGUGUGUGUGUGAGAGCUGGAGGAGUGUGUGUGUGUGAGAGCUGGAGGAGUGUGUGUGUGUGUGAGCUGGAGGAGUGUGUGUGUGUGAGAGCUGGAGGAGUGUGUGUAUAUAUUGUGAAUAUUGUACAUGUGUGAAAAUGUGUCGGGAGGACUAGGAGACUAAGAGCAGGUCUGUUGGAUCAGGAGGACUACAGAUCAUCACACACUUCCUCAUCUGGAACUGCUCUACGGAGGAAUUCUGGGAGAUGUAGUUUCUCUCCACAGUCCUCAGACUGGGACUAUUGCUACUUUCUACGGCAGAACUGAUUUAAACAUGAACCGCCAUCUUCCCUCGCCACCUGGGCUGAAACCUAACAUGGUGUUUUGUCUCAUAGCAUGAUCCCCCCCUCCCCUCUCUCUCUCCCGUCCUCCUCAUGACGAUCGGAGAAAUCCGCACCAAGAAGAAGACUUUAUUGUCCGAUGUAGACGAAUGUCCAACGGAAACUUGUCUUUUUUUAUUUAAACUGUCAGAUGUCCUCUCACCUGCUCUCUCUCUCUCUUGUGUUUCACCCUGUGCCAUGACUUCUCUGCUUAGCUGAUCCUAGAUCAGCUUAUUGGUUGUCGCCCUAAUUUAAAAGGGUUGAAUGUAACUGAUCAUAGAUCAGUAUCUAGACUCUACUUCAUUCCGUUGACGUAGUGUCUCGCACACAAACCGUUCUCCAUCACGACCCUCUGAUUGGAUGAGGAUGUAGAGGGGGGGGGACGGGGGCUUUAUAUUUUAAUUUAGCAGAUUUUUGUGUUAAUGUUUUGAUUUGAAUUGAAUAAAAAGUAGCUGUGGAAUAA
Non-coding RNA from Salvelinus sp. IW2-2015, 1350 nucleotides. The record is from RefSeq and is a predicted model, not a curated record. Lineage: Eukaryota; Metazoa; Chordata; Actinopteri; Salmoniformes; Salmonidae.